Molecule: RNA transcript, 2756 nt
Organism: Triplophysa dalaica
Lineage: Eukaryota; Metazoa; Chordata; Actinopteri; Cypriniformes; Nemacheilidae
Gene: terf1
Gene name: telomeric repeat binding factor (NIMA-interacting) 1
Exons: 11
Source: RefSeq, a predicted model, not a curated record
AGGCGGGAAUUUCUACUGUCAACACAAACAUAUGAAGAUGGAGCAGAAGUCGCAUGAGAUGAUCUCAAGCACAACAGAGUUACGAACAGAUUUUCAAGCAGUGGACGGGGUUGUUCAGUCAUGGAUGAUCGAUUAUUACUUUACCUCGCUAUGUCGGCUCUUUAGAGAAAGAUCUGCGGGGAAGUUUCGCAAGACUUUAAACAUAUUUCAGGCAACAGUGGAUGAGCUUGAAUCAUGUUCUGCCAGUCGUGAUCAUUCAACUCAGAGAACCAUCUGUUGUUUCCUUGCCAGAGUGAUGGACGGCGAAGAACUGAAUGUCCACUAUGAUAAGAAUGAUCAGAUCUCUCCCUUGAUGUCAGCGCUGAAAGUUUGGGAUUUAUUGGAGGAUUUAGUUUCUGAUCCCGCAUUACACACUAAGAUCAGGAAUCUACUGAUUGUUCAGAGUGUUGCUGUGUGUGUUAGAAACGGGAAAUCACAGAUGGGAAAGGACACACUGCAGUGGCUGGAAAAAGAGGCUCAGAUACCUGAGAAACUACAUGGAAAGCUGACCGGCAUUGUGAACAAGAAAGAUGCAUAUGACCAACUUCUCAUGAACUUAACUUACAAUCAGCUCCUGGAGAAAAUUGACAUGUUCCUUGACUCUCAGCAGGAUGCUUCUCAUUUCUUACUUGAGGCAGCAAUAAAAGUGGUUGAGGCGCGUCAAGAAAGAUCGGAUGAAUCUUCAUGUGAACAGGAUGGUGGCAAGGCGGCGUUGUCCAGCCUGGAGUCAACAAACAAUUCAAAAGAGAAUGACAGCCAAGUGGACCCUUUGGUGGUAAAUAACAGGCAUAAAAAGAAACUUUUGUCAAAACAAGUUGACCCAUGGAAUCCCGAAACAGCAAAGAAAAAACAAAGACUGCUCAGGAGAAGCUCUGUUUGUAAGGUUACCCAGCGGAGUAGUGUUCCUUCAGUAUUAGAAAGUAAUAUUAGUACAACAAGCCGAGGCAGGAGGAAAUGGACUUCGAAAGAAGAUUAUGAGCUUAAAGCAGGUGUAAGGCAGUAUGGGGUGGGGAAAUGGGCUGUAAUCCUGAAUGCGUUUAAUCUCGAGAAUCGUACCAGUGUCAUGCUUAAGGACAGGUGGAGAACUUUGAAGAAACAGAACAUUGUCUAAGUUUCUGAGGACUUUUUUUUAUUCUUCCUUUAUUUCUUUUUAAAGUUUUAAAACCUUUGGCGUUAUUGCUUGAAAGUUGUCAUAAGUACCAUGCAGUGUGGUUUACGUAAAUGUAUAGAGUGGAACAUGUAUACUGUAUGCAUGGUCAUGUAUAUAAGGCCUUUUUCCCCCACAGAAUUUAUACUUAUGUUUUAUUUUGAGAGAAAAACUAAACUAGAUGUGUUGGCCAAUACAGUGGCAUCACAUUUUGGUCAUUUUUUUUUGUAGUAAAUAAACUUGAGCAAAUUGCAUUCCGAUUUGUUUUUGAAGGAUAAAUGUUUGUCCAGUAGAGAGCGUAUGUAAGAAAAAGUGAUCUUUGUUUUGUUUCAUUUUCUGAAGAUAUUUGUCAAAAAAUUGUGUUCAUUUAAAGCAACAAAGCUGUUCAGAUAUAAAGGUUUAAAAAAAUGUUUCGCAACAUAUUGUUCCUAUGAGGAUUUGUUUAGUAAAACAUCUGCAUUCAACCUGUUUGUUUAAAUGAAAAUGAAGCUGUGUACUAGUGGACAGGAGCAGUGCUCUAGUCUCUGGACUUUUCUCCAUGUUCCUCUGCAGCGAGGACUUCCAACUGCCUGCCAGUGUAGAAGCUCAUUCCUGUCAAGAACAGAAGCGCAUUAGCUUCAAAACUGUGUAGUUGUGGGUGUUCAACUGUAUCUCAACAACACUGUGACUGUAUGGUUACACUACCUUUCAGCUAGGGUACCGUCUCCUUGGCAACUCCGGCUGUGGUUGCUCAUGGCUGGAGGUUGACAAGCCACACAGAUGGUGUAACCUUCCCGUAAGUACUGCAUCCAGCGAGUAUAGGGUCUGUCCUCUACCAUACACUGUGGUGUGAGAGACUCCAUCUUGAAUUCCAUGCAGAAACUGAAAUAGGCGAUAUUGUGUUUAAUUUAAGGUCUUUAAAAAAAGUGUCUAGAGAUGAAUAAAAUGUUGUUUUACUUUGUAGGUAACAAUCUUACUGUUCUGAAAAAGUAAUCUUUGAUAAAAUAGUAUAGGUUUGUGGUUUUGAGUAAUGAAGGCAAUUCCUUGAAAAUGUCAACCAUACCAUGAAAAGGUUUUUACUAUGGUAACAGCAUAGAUUUGAAAAUCUGGUGGGUCAGAUACCCAUGUUAGAUCUAUCUUCAAAUUUGUAAAGCAUUUGUUUUAUUUUUAGUGCAUGAUUUUUCAUAGUCAGGUAAGUGCCAUUUUCAGGAUUGUCACAUCUAUGGAUGGGCUCAGUGCCCAUGACCCCGAGGGGGCCCUGGGCUUCAAGGUUGCGCCAUCCAUUUUGGUACAAUGAAAACAAAUGUUUCCCAUACCCUAUACAAGGCCUGUGUGGAUAUCCUGUAAAAAAUUAAUGAUCAACAAACCAUGGCAACAUACAUUUUUAUGUUACUUUAUUACAUUAAAUGUAGCCCAUUAAAAAUUAAUUUACUUAUUAAUUAAACAACAGCACAUUUAAAUUGCAUUUUCUGAAUCUUUUGCUUGAUGAUUUGAUGUUCACAGACAUGUCACAGGGGCAUUUUAUGGUGAGAAUGAUGUGAUGAAUUAAAUACGUGUAUAUUUGACACUUAAUUAAAGAUGCAUUAAUUUG